ACUGUUUCCGAGGGGCGCCGGUUGUCCGGCUGAGAUCGUGUAAGGAGCGCGAGCACCCUUAGAACCUGAUCCGGGUCAUGCCGGCGAAGGGACGGGCAAACCAGGUGGC
Regulatory RNA element from Hyphomicrobium denitrificans ATCC 51888, 109 nucleotides. It matches the Rfam family "TPP riboswitch aptamer (THI element)". Rfam says of the family: Vitamin B(1) in its active form thiamin pyrophosphate (TPP) is an essential coenzyme that is synthesised by coupling of pyrimidine and thiazole moieties in bacteria. The previously detected thiamin-regulatory element, thi box was extended, resulting in a new, highly conserved RNA secondary structure, the THI element, which is widely distributed in eubacteria and also occurs in some archaea. The record is from Rfam. NCBI's taxonomy places the organism in Bacteria, Pseudomonadati, Pseudomonadota, Alphaproteobacteria, Hyphomicrobiales, Hyphomicrobiaceae.